GACGAACGCUGGCGGCGUGCUUAACACAUGCAAGUCGAACGGAAAGGCCCUGCUUUUGUGGGGUGCUCGAGUGGCGAACGGGUGAGUAACACGUGAGUAACCUGCCCUUGACUUUGGGAUAACUUCAGGAAACUGGGGCUAAUACCGGAUAGGAGCUCCUGCUGCAUGGUGGGGGUUGGAAAGUUUCGGCGGUUGGGGAUGGACUCGCGGCUUAUCAGCUUGUUGGUGGGGUAGUGGCUUACCAAGGCUUUGACGGGUAGCCGGCCUGAGAGGGUGACCGGCAACAUUGGGACUGAGAUACGGACCAGACUCCUACGGGAGGCAGCAGUGGGGAAUAUUGCACAAUGGGCGGAAGCCUGAUGCAGCAACGCCGCGUGCGGGAUGACGGCCUUCGGGUUGUAAACCGCUUUCGCCUGUGACGAAGCGUGAGUGACGGUAAUGGGUAAAGAAGCACCGGCUAAGUACGUG
RNAcentral lists this ribosomal RNA (468 nucleotides) under uncultured bacterium. Its description in RNAcentral is "partial 16S ribosomal RNA". It matches the Rfam family "Bacterial small subunit ribosomal RNA", at positions 28 to 507 of the family's 1533-position model. The record is from RNAcentral.